Rhododendron vialii is the source of this 1438-nucleotide long non-coding RNA. RefSeq lists it as uncharacterized. Lineage: Eukaryota; Viridiplantae; Streptophyta; Magnoliopsida; Ericales; Ericaceae. The record is from RefSeq and is a predicted model, not a curated record. The transcript is spliced from 4 exons.
AAAACAGCCAACCCACGUUCACAGCUCCUCUCUCUCUCUCUCUCUCUCUCUCUCUCUCCAUUCCUCAACCGCCACCACUCCGCGCCUCUCUCCCACACCCCCACCCCCACCCCCACCCCCACCCCCACCCCUCACUCUCUCAUGGCCUAUGAAUACCCCAUCUUCACUCCUCCCUCUAUCUUUCACAGAUUUGCUCCGCCACCAACCGUCGUCCUGCCCCCGUUCUUGAAAGAACAGUCCCAUCCCCCGCCCUUGACAAAAAGAGGCAAGGUUCAGAAAAGGCGAGGAGUCAAUUGUUGAUUACGAGCCUUCAGGGGUUUCUUGAAUUCAACCACGAUGGAUGUGGUGUAUGAUGGAGACAUAAACGAACAAAGAAUUAAAGCCAAAAUGGCUCGACUCAUGCGCAGGAGAAGAUUAAUGACUCAACGUAACGACCCAUUAAUGAAUCAACGUUUCUUAGAAAUUGAGAGAGAGGCGCGAUGUUUGGGAAGUGCAUACUUGCGUCUAAGACGAUUGCGGCGUGCGCCCUCUCUGGUCCGGAACGACCGCAAUAGUGCGAAUGCUCAUGUCAUCUCCAUUGGAGGACAAUCUGUCAAUAUUCCACUACCAACAUCGAAUGAGCCAAAUCGAUCCAACUGGUAGGAACCUUUCCCGCAAUUAAAUAUUGCUAAUCUUUUUUAAACAGUCUUUCCUUUCAACCAAAAAAUGUGUUUUUUUGUUACUUAAUGCAUAGAAGCUACCAUGGAAAAUUUGAAUGGAGAUCAACCAACUGAUCAAAACAUAAUGCUUCCCGUCGGCCAUCCAAAUAUCAGUUAGUCUUACAGUUUUUCGUACCAAUCGUCAAUUGUUACAAUUUUGAUUUUUUAUAAACUGAAUUUCAGAGAGAGCAAGUAAUGAAUUUUAAGGCCAAGAAUGAAUCUACUAAAAUCAAUCGAAUUGUUAUAUACUGUAUUAACAAUUAAACAUGUAUAUACAUCUAUACAUUACCAUGCUAAUAGCCACUGUUUUAUCUAUCACACAAUUGAUUUACGAAAUCUUAUUGAACAUGUAUAUACAUCUAUGCUGCUCGUCUUUUUUUGUUAUUAUGUAGGAAUGUGUCAUAGAAAAAUAGUAUUUCAACUUUGGAAAAAUAGUCAACAAGAGUGCUAUGACUGAUGAAGCGACAAAUGUAUAACAGGUUUCGACUUCACAAUCUACGCGGAUAGUAAAGAUAGACAUCUAUUGUUCAAAAUGGAUGUUUUCCGUGAGAGCUAACACAAUUGAUUUACGAAAUCUUAUUGAAGAGUUCGUAGGUAUUAGAUCGUGGCAAAAUCGGUGGCGGCAGCGACGUUAGCUAAACAAUGGCAAUUAGUUUCUAAAUAGUUUCUUUAAACACUUUUUAAGUUGCAAGGACAUUAUCUAUUAGCUUUAUCAUUUUAUGUAUGAUUGUUAGCAAUAA